CGGCCCGGCGGGCUCAGAGGGAAAAGAGGAACAGGGAGGGGACGUCUUUGGGCGCCGUGGCGGUGCGCAAGCGCCGUGGCCCGACUGGGGACUUUGUUCUUCGCGGAGAAACCCAAGGGCGGUGCCGGUGGCCGGCUGCGCACGCGCGCCGCCUCAUUUCCGGUGCUCUCUCGCUGGGUCGCUCGGGUCGGCUUCGGUCGCUGUCGCCCCUGCUCUCCCACCCCUGCCAACCGCCGCUCGGGUCUCUGCCGCGUCGCUUCCUUGCUCGCUCUCUCGCUCGCACAUCCUCUCCGAUGCAGCGCCGGGACGAUCCUGCCGCGCGCAUGACCCGGUCCUCGGGCCGCAGCGGCUCUAUGGACCCCUCAGGUGCCCACCCCUCGGUGCGUCAGACGCCGUCUCGGCAGCCUCCGCUGCCUCACCGGUCCCGGGGAGGCGGAGGGGGGCCCCGAGGGGGCGCCCGGGCCUCGCCAGCCACGCAGCCGCCACCGCUGCUGCCUCCCUCGGCCACAGGUCCCGACGCCACAGUGGGCGGGCCGGCGCCGACCCCACUGCUACCCCCGUCAGCCACGGCCUCGGUCAAGAUGGAGCCAGAAAACAAGUACCUGCCCGAACUCAUGGCUGAGAAGGACUCGCUCGACCCGUCCUUUACUCAUGCCAUGCAGCUUCUGACGGCAGAAAUUGAGAAGAUUCAGAAAGGGGAUUCAAAAAAGGACGAUGAGGAGAAUUAUUUGGACUUAUUUUCUCAUAAGAACAUGAAGCUGAAAGAGCGGGUGCUGAUACCUGUCAAGCAGUACCCAAAGUUCAAUUUUGUGGGGAAGAUUCUUGGACCACAAGGGAAUACAAUCAAAAGACUGCAGGAAGAAACUGGUGCAAAGAUCUCUGUAUUGGGAAAGGGCUCAAUGAGAGACAAAGCCAAGGAAGAAGAGCUUCGCAAAGGCGGAGAUCCAAAGUAUGCCCACUUAAAUAUGGAUCUGCAUGUCUUCAUUGAAGUCUUUGGACCCCCAUGUGAGGCUUAUGCUCUCAUGGCCCAUGCCAUGGAAGAAGUGAAGAAGUUUUUAGUACCAGAUAUGAUGGAUGAUAUCUGCCAGGAGCAAUUUCUAGAGCUGUCCUACUUGAAUGGAGUACCUGAGCCCUCUCGUGGACGUGGGGUGCCAGUGAGAGGCCGGGGAGCUGCACCUCCCCCUCCACCUGUUCCCAGGGGCCGUGGUGUAGGACCCCCUCGGGGAGCUUUGGUGCGUGGCACCCCAGUGAGAGGUGCCAUCACCAGAGGUGCCACUGUGACCCGAGGGGUGCCACCUCCACCUACUGUGAGGGGUGCUCCAGCACCAAGAGCACGGACGGCMGGCAUCCAGAGAAUACCUUUGCCUCCACCCCCUGCACCAGAAACAUAUGAAGAAUAUGGAUAUGAUGAUACAUAUGCGGAACAGAGUUAUGAAGGCUACGAAGGCUAUUACAGCCAGAGCCAAGGGGACUCAGAAUAUUAUGACUAUGGACAUGGGGAGGUUCAAGAUUCUUAUGAAGCUUAUGGCCAAGAUGACUGGAAUGGAACCAGGCCGUCACUGAAGGCCCCUCCAGCUAGGCCAGUGAAGGGAGCAUACAGAGAGCACCCAUAUGGACGUUAUUAAAAUCAAACAGGAGGGGAAAAAUAUCAGUUAUGAGCAAAGUUGUUACUGAUUUCUUGUAUCUCCCAGGAUUCCUGUUGCUUUACCCACAACAGACAAGUGAUUGAAAACUUCUUGAGAUAUUUCCUGGAAUAGAAUGAGUAGUGAAGACCCAUGUCAGCUAUCAGAGAACUCCAGUAACCAGGAGAGAACUACCUGUUGUUUAAAGGCUGGCCUGGGGCAUUUGCUGAGCACAGAGAAACCAUGGAGAGGAGAUCAACAGUUCUGUCUCACCCCGCCUCUUGAUCUGUCUGAAUUAACCACAGAAAACCAGCCAGGAUCAUCCUUUAAGAGUCCUUAGACUCAGAAUGGAAUCCUCAGGGCAGUAGGGGACUGUGAUAUUAACAGUUCUACCUGCUCAAGACUUUAAAAAGAGUGGAACUAACAAUGUCCCUAGCAUGGCCCUCCAGAUCAGUAGACUGGCACCUCCCACUAUACCAUUCCCAGUCUGCUUCCCCUUAAUCUGUCACAGAACCGACUGGAACACCCUACUUUCACUUCCUAUUCCUCACACCAUACAGAAAUUCUUUGGUGGCUGUCAGCAUCAGAGCCCUUGGAUACUUCCAGAGAGUAAUCCUCAUCUCCUCAGUAAUGGGCUAGGGGAAAACCAAAUGCAGAGGUUCAUUUACUUUGGGUUCAUUACUUGCUGAGCCUGUUUUUCUCUUAUUGUUGAUUACUUGUUCAAAAAAGGUCUUGAAAGGUAGGGCUUUUCUACUUUACAUCUGUAUUCUAUUUUCCAACCAGUAUUUGCCCCUGAGGAGCUCAAUAAAGGUUUGGUCAAGUGAUAAAUGGUCCCACUCUGGUAGCUUCUCUUAGCUUUGGGAAAGGGCCUAAGCCCCCCUUCUAGAGCUAUUCUGGGCCAAAUGAUUUGCCUUAACAUUUUCUCUUGAAGGAUUAGGAAGUCAGCUUUUGAAAGGCUUCUGAUUUCCUGGGUCCUAUGCCUAGCUGAGAUUUACAGAGCUUCUUGAGAGAUUAGGGACCUCUAGUGCUGCACUCUUCCCUAAGACCUUCAGGUUAUUUAUCCUAACAAAGGAACCAAGAGCUAGGACUGGGUUUAAGGAGGAAGACUGUCUGCAUUUUAACUAUGUCUGAGGAUAUUUUAAUGAGCUUGGAGUCAUUCUUAGGAGGUGUAGUGGAAAGGGACCUUGAAGUCAGUUGAUUUACAUUGGACAAGCUGUUGAACAUCUGAACCUGCUUGUCUUCAUUGUUGAUUACUAUAAAUAGUAGCUAAUUAUACCUUUUGGGGGUACCAAAGAUUUAAUCCAGGGGUAAUUUA
Molecule: RNA transcript, 2937 nt
Organism: Urocitellus parryii (Arctic ground squirrel)
Lineage: Eukaryota; Metazoa; Chordata; Mammalia; Rodentia; Sciuridae
Gene: Khdrbs1
Gene name: KH RNA binding domain containing, signal transduction associated 1
Source: RefSeq, a predicted model, not a curated record